GAUGAACGCUGACAGAUUGCUUAACACAUGCAAGUCUACUUGAUCCUUCGGGUGAUGGUGGCGGACGGGUGAGUAACGCGUAAAGAACUUGCCCUGCAGUCUGGGACAACAUUUGGAAACGAAUGCUAAUACCGGAUAUUAUGUGAGUUUCGCAUGAAAUUCAUAUGAAAGUUAUAUGCGCUGCAGGAGAGCUUUGCGUCCUAUUAGCUAGUUGGUGAGGUAACGGCUCACCAAGGCGAUGAUAGGUAGCCGGCCUGAGAGGGUGAACGGCCACAAGGGGACUGAGACACGGCCCUUACUCCUACGGGAGGCAGCAGUGGGGAAUAUUGGACAAUGGACCAAAAGUCUGAUCCAGCAAUUCUGCGUGCACGAUGAAGUUUUUCGGAAUGUAAAGUGCUUUCAGUUGGGACGAAGUAAGUGACGGUACCAACAGAAGAAGCGACGGCUAAAUACGUGCCAGCAGCCGCGGUAAUACGUAUGUCGCAAGCGUUAUCCGGAUUUAUUGGGCGUAAAGCGCGUCUAGGCGGUUUGGUAAGUCUGAUGUGAAAAUGCGGGGCUCAACUCCGUAUUGCGUUGGAAACUGCCAAACUAGAGUACUGGAGAGGUGGGCGGAACUACAAGUGUAGAGGUGAAAUUCGUAGAUAUUUGUAGGAAUGCCGAUGGGAAAGCCAGCCUACUGGACAGAUACUGACGCUAAAGCGCGAAAGCGUGGGUAGCAAACAGG
Molecule: ribosomal RNA, 724 nt
Filed under: uncultured bacterium
Lineage: Bacteria
Description: bacterial SSU rRNA
Rfam family: Bacterial small subunit ribosomal RNA
Source: RNAcentral